UCCGCAUAGCUCAGUUGGUAGAGCGCAUGACUGUUAAUCAUGAUGUCGUAGGUUCGAGAGUCCUACUGGCGGAG
Molecule: transfer RNA, 74 nt
Filed under: Streptococcus pneumoniae
Lineage: Bacteria; Bacillati; Bacillota; Bacilli; Lactobacillales; Streptococcaceae
Description: tRNA-Asn(gtt)
Rfam family: tRNA
About the family: Transfer RNA (tRNA) molecules are approximately 80 nucleotides in length.
Source: RNAcentral